GACACCAAAGCUGGUGCCAUUGCAUGGGAUUCAGAAAGAGGAGCAGACCUCUGGCACUUUACAACCCAGUGGAGUGCAGAAAGGAAAAGAAACAUGCAGGAAAUUAGAGCCAUUAAAGAUGGAAAGUUAUGCUUUCUAAAAAGGUACUAAGGCCUGGCAAAGACUUGUAGGUGUGUAUUACAGGCACUGGAACUGCUCACAUGUACGUGUACACCUGGUUUCAAAAUCAGGCUUGAUUUGCGUAUGCUGGUGAGGAAAUUGAAGCACUGUUAGUGGAUUAUUUUUAACCUGUGUUCUUUCAAAACCAGGGCAAUAGAUUUCUGGGACUCAUUUGUGUAGUUCCAUCACUGUUCUCAGCUCUUCAUUACAAACCAAAGCUAAUAGGAGCUGAGAAAUUUGAAUUGAUUUUUCUUUCAAGCACAGUGAGGUUGAACAUGGCUUUUUCUGACAGCUUGUCUGAAACCACAAAAAUGUGCGAAGGGAAAAUCUGUUUCUCCUCUGGACAGGGUACAUGCAUGGGGCUGGAUGCUUGGCUGGUGAAAAUGGGCAUCUCCUCCUCAACCUGAAUGGGCCUUUUGCUGGUGCAACUUACUGCUUUCCCUUUAAACAGGGGAGACAAAACGACAUCAAACUAUUUUCUCAUGCCAGGAAAAUCUUACCCUCACCUAAAGGUGAUAAAUGACCAUGGUGUACACAGAAACCCGAAGCCCUUGCAGCGUGCCCAGCCUCUCUCGCACCUUUUGCCCAUGGACCAUGGCAGAGCAGUACUCCCCGCCUGCAUGCCCAUCACCCGAGGAUUCCUUGAGCUCUGCCGGGGUGCUGGCACACAAACCGGGCUGCAGCACGAAGCUGAGGCAUGAGCAACGCCUGGUUCGCUUGCAGAUGGGGAAACCAAAGCCACGGUCAUCAGAAGGAAACCUUCCCCAGCGGGAUGGCCCCGCUGCUCGGCCGUGCCCCGAAACCACGGCAUGCGGGACGCCGGGGUCAGCCCGUUGCGGAGAGGUUGUCAUAAAUCUCUGCUUCUGCCCUUCUGCUAAUGGGCUGCUUUGUCCAAAGUGAGCAGGAUCCUCAGACAAUGUGAAUCAGUCUAGUUGCCCUGUGAUUGGAGCCCUGGCACUGAAUUAACCCAGAUUUCUGCCAUAGCAGUGUCCGAGAUGGGAAAUGAAGUCAUCUGCAGAAACUAGAGCUGUUUGGGAAAUGUGUUAUUAACUUCUGCCAAGAAAAGCCGGGUGAGAACAUAUGUUUCUGGGGAGGCAAGGGAAAACCCCUCUGAUUUUUCUUUUUCUUUUUUUUUUUUUUCCUGUCUAUUCAAAGUCUGAAGCUCAGGGUUUCAGGUUCCUGGAGUGUCUACUGGUAUUAAUGCAUUUCUCAACUCACAAAGAAGAAUUGGUUGGGGAAAUGGGUUGGUUUGAUCAAAAAGCAAUGUCAUUUCUGUGUUGUUUCAGGAGUAGAGGACUACCAGCCCGACUCUGCCAAAGAAACAGUUUUGCAUCCUCCAAAAUGGUGCAUGUGGCAAGGACCCAGCCCCAGGCUCAGCAUCAAGCCCUAACCCUACUGCAAUUCCUUGUUGCCAGGUCUGAAAGGAUUUACCUGCUCAGGAGCUUCUUUUUAUCCUGAUAGAAAUAACUGGCAAGGGAAUUUUGACAGGUAAGAGACAGUUGGGAGAUCAAGAGGAACCUCUGGGGCCGUUUCAUAUGGCUUGAAUCUGUGUGGUAAUUCGAUUUCUUCUCUGCAAUGUUUGUUAGUUUUACACCGGCUUGAAGAUCUGAAAUGUGCUUGCUGAGUUAAUCUGCUUGCAAACAAGAGAUAAUUGAAACUAGUGCUGCAGCUCAAAUGCUACAUGAGAGAAUGUAAGCACAUGUGAAAGGGCACCCCCCC
Pezoporus occidentalis (night parrot) is the source of this 1878-nucleotide long non-coding RNA. RefSeq lists it as uncharacterized. NCBI's taxonomy places the organism in Eukaryota, Metazoa, Chordata, Aves, Psittaciformes, Psittacidae. The transcript is spliced from 4 exons. The record is from RefSeq and is a predicted model, not a curated record.